Molecule: transfer RNA, 73 nt
Filed under: Onychogalea unguifera (northern nail-tailed wallaby)
Lineage: Eukaryota; Metazoa; Chordata; Mammalia; Diprotodontia; Macropodidae
Description: tRNA-Trp
Rfam family: tRNA
About the family: Transfer RNA (tRNA) molecules are approximately 80 nucleotides in length.
Source: RNAcentral
AAAGGUUUAGGUUCAAUCUCUUAGACCAAAGGCCUUCAAAGCCUUAAGCAGGUGUUAAAUCACCUAACCUUUG